UUUCAGACGGAACUCAGUGGCAAUGUGGAAGAAGAAAGAAGAAUAAUGAAUAUUGAAUUAACAUAAAACGUGAACAUUGAUGGCUGAGAGUGAAUUUUAUCUACAAUAUAGCAGUGUUAAACUAUUAUAUGUAUUAUCUCGAUGAUACUUGGUGUAUUUCACUGUUUCAUUAUGGCAGGAUAAU
Molecule: long non-coding RNA, 184 nt
Organism: Octopus sinensis (East Asian common octopus)
Lineage: Eukaryota; Metazoa; Mollusca; Cephalopoda; Octopoda; Octopodidae
Exons: 3
Source: RefSeq, a predicted model, not a curated record